Molecule: ribosomal RNA, 476 nt
Filed under: uncultured bacterium
Lineage: Bacteria
Description: bacterial SSU rRNA
Rfam family: Bacterial small subunit ribosomal RNA
Source: RNAcentral
AUGAACGCUAGCGACAGGCCUAACACAUGCAAGUCGAGGGUAACAGGGAGCUUGCUCCGCUGACGACCGGCGCACGGGUGAGUAACGCGUAUCCGACCUACCCAUAACACGGGCACAGCCGCUCGAAAGAGUGAUUGAUUCCCGAUAUGUCUUUAGAGUAGAUCUAAUGAUGAAAGAUUCAUCGGUUAUGGAUGGGGAUGCGUAAGAUUAGGUAGUAGGCGGGGUAACGGCCCACCAUGCCUACGAUGUCUAGGGGUUCUGAGAGGAAGGUCCCCCACACUGGAACUGAGACACGGUCCAGACUCCUACGGGAGGCAGCAGUGAGGAAUAUUGGUCAAUGGUCGGAAGACUGAACCAGCCAAGUAGCGUGAAGGAUGAAGGUUCUAUGGAUUGUAAACUUCUUUUAUACGGGAAUAAAACCUCCUACGUGUAGGAGCUUGUAUGUACCGUAUGAAUAAGCAUCGGCUAACUCCGUG